GCCGGCGGCUAUAGCGACAGGGCCACACCCGUUCCCAUUCCGAACACGGAAGUUAAGACUGUCAGCGCCCAUGGUACUGCGAGGGCAACUUCGUGGGAGAGUAGGUCGUCGCCGGCG
Molecule: ribosomal RNA, 117 nt
Filed under: Candidatus Hydrogenedentota bacterium
Lineage: Bacteria; Pseudomonadati; Candidatus Hydrogenedentota
Source: RNAcentral